AUUGAACGCUGGCGGCAGGCCUAACACAUGCAAGUCGAACGGUAACAGGAAGAAGCUUGCUUCUUUGCUGACGAGUGGCGGACGGGUGAGUAAUGUCUGGGAAACUGCCUGAUGGAGGGGGAUAACUACUGGAAACGGUAGCUAAUACCGCAUAACGUCGCAAGACCAAAGAGGGGGACCUUCGGGCCUCUUGCCAUCGGAUGUGCCCAGAUGGGAUUAGCUAGUAGGUGGGGUAACGGCUCACCUAGGCGACGAUCCCUAGCUGGUCUGAGAGGAUGAUCAGCCACACUGGAACUGAGACACGGUCCAGACUCCUACGGGAGGCAGCAGUGGGGAAUAUUGCACAAUGGGCGCAAGCCUGAUGCAGCCAUGCCGCGUGUAUGAAGAAGGCCUUCGGGUUGUAAAGUACUUUCAGCGGGGAGGAAGGGAGUAAAGUUAAUACCUUUACUCAUUGACGUUACCCGCAGAAGAAGCACCGGCUAACUCCGUG
Molecule: ribosomal RNA, 490 nt
Filed under: uncultured bacterium
Lineage: Bacteria
Description: partial 16S ribosomal RNA
Rfam family: Bacterial small subunit ribosomal RNA
Source: RNAcentral